Molecule: non-coding RNA, 29 nt
Filed under: Rattus norvegicus (Norway rat)
Lineage: Eukaryota; Metazoa; Chordata; Mammalia; Rodentia; Muridae
Source: RNAcentral
UAGCCAUUUCUUUGUUGGGUCCUACUGAA